CACUUAUACGGUGAAACUGCGAAUGGCUCAUUAAAUCAGUUAUCGUUUAUUUGAUAGUACCUUACUACAUGGAUACCCGUGGUAAUUCUAGAGCUAAUACAUGCUGAAAACCCCGACUUCGGAAGGGGUGUAUUUAUUAGAUAAAAAACCAAUGCCCUCCGGGGCUUCUUGGUGAUUCAUAAUAACUAAACGAAUCGCAUGGCCUUGAGCCGGCGAUGGUUCAUUCAAAUUUCUGCCCUAUCAACUUUCGAUGGUAGGAUAGUGGCCUACCAUGGUAUCAACGGGUAACGGGGAAUUAGGGUUCGAUUCCGGAGAGGGAGCCUGAGAAACGGCUACCACAUCCAAGGAAGGCAGCAGGCGCGCAAAUUACCCAAUCCCGACACGGGGAGGUAGUGACAAUAAAUACUGAUACAGGGCUCUUUUGGGUCUUGUAAUCGGAAUGAGUACAAUUCAAAUCUCUUAACGAGGAACAAUUGGAGGGCAAGUCUGGUGGACCUCAGCUCCCGUUGCUGACGCCAGAAAGAGUUGCCGGCCGCUUGCGGGCGCCGCCAGCUAGUCGAGCACCCACGCUGUGAUAGGCGGGUGCCGGCAAGACAACCUGGAUCGGGGAAGGCUACGGCAUCGCGAGAUGCUACGCUAAUCCCGAGCGGAGCUGUCGCGAAGCGAUCCGCGUCGAGCCCGUGUAGAGCACGCAAAGGUGUCGGUCGACUCUCCGAGUCGGCUUAAGGUACGUGCCAUUCCCAUCCGAAAGGGUGGCCGCGAACAGUAGCGCCUAUCACGCGAAGGUUCCGGGAGGUCGUCCCCCGCGCUGGGGGAUCGGUCCUCGAGGGACGCGCCAGUCCCGAAGGCCAGCAGCCGCGGUAAUUCCAGCUCCAAUAGCGUAUAUUAAAGUUGUUGCAGUUAAAAAGCUCGUAGUUGAACCUUGGGUUCGGCUGGCCGGUCCGCCUAACCGCGUGCACUGGUCUGGCCGGGCCCUUACCUCUGGGGAACUGCAUGUCCUUCACUGGGCGUGUCAGGGAACCAGGACUUUUACUUUGAAAAAAUUAGAGUGUUCAAAGCAGGCCUUUGCUCGGAUACAUUAGCAUGGAAUAAUAGAAUAGGACGUGCGAUCCUAUUUUGUUGGUUUCUAGGAUUGCCGUAAUGAUUAAUAGGGACAGUCGGGGGCAUCAGUAUUCAGCCGUCAGAGGUGAAAUUCUUGGAUCGGCUGAAGACUAGCUACUGCGAAAGCAUUUGCCAAGGAUGUUUUCAUUAAUCAGGGAACGAAAGUUGGGGGAUCGAAGACGAUCAGAUACCGUCGUAGUCUCAACCGUAAACUAUGCCGACUAGGGAUCGGGCGACGUUCCAAUUUUGACUCGCCCGGCACCUUACGAGAAAUCAAAGUUUUUGG
This 1387-nucleotide ribosomal RNA is filed under the name Acrospermum leucocephalum. Its description in RNAcentral is "partial small subunit ribosomal RNA". It matches the Rfam family "Eukaryotic small subunit ribosomal RNA", at positions 71 to 1110 of the family's 1831-position model. Lineage: Eukaryota; Fungi; Ascomycota; Dothideomycetes; Acrospermales; Acrospermaceae. The record is from RNAcentral.